This 656-nucleotide unclassified non-coding RNA is filed under the name Hevea brasiliensis (rubber tree). The record is from RNAcentral. Lineage: Eukaryota; Viridiplantae; Streptophyta; Magnoliopsida; Malpighiales; Euphorbiaceae.
AAGAGCACUCAUUGCACUGACAAGAACCCCCAUUGGAUGAGCAUCAUGUGGCAUUGACUGUAUGAUAUCCAAGAGUCCUUGUGGAACUGCUGAAUGCUGUGAAACUGUGAACUCCCAGUCUGCUAACUGAUUCUCAGAUGGUAAAUUACCAUACAACAAAAGAUAUGCCACUUCCAAGAAGGAACUUCCCUCGGCCAGCUCUUCAAUAGGGUAGCCUCGAUAUCUAAGGAUCCCGGCAUCACCAUCAAUAUAACAUAUUGAUGACCUAACAGGUGCCGUGUUGAGAUAGCCUGGAUCAUAAAGCUUAAGACCCUUAUCAUUCUGUCCUGUUGUUAUCUUCUUCAAGUCGUUGGCUUUGAUAGUGCCAUCCUCAGAAACCUGAACCGGAUACUUCUUACCGGUCCGUUCAUCGAUGAUCGUCAACGCACCUUUUAGAUUCCGCGGAGGUUCGACGCCGGAAACGGAAGAUACACCGGAAGUUUCUAGAAGUUUAAAGGUUGUUAAAUCGGAAACGUUGAGUGAUGCUGCGAGAUGAGCUGAAAGCACCGCUAAUCUCCCUCGAGCAACUGAUGAAGAAUUUCCGUUCUCCAUGAAAAUGCUUUUUCUUAGAAUUUUCAAUUUUUUUUCUAUGUUUGAUUUUAGAAAAUAGAAAUGAA